This 400-nucleotide ribosomal RNA is filed under the name uncultured bacterium. RNAcentral's name for it is "bacterial SSU rRNA". It matches the Rfam family "Bacterial small subunit ribosomal RNA", at positions 355 to 748 of the family's 1533-position model. The record is from RNAcentral.
UGGGGAAUUUUGCGCAAUGGGCGAAAGCCUGACGCAGCGACGCCGCGUGGGUGACGAAGGCCCUCGGGUUGUAAAGCCCUGUGGGGAGGGAAGAAUAAGGGGCGGCUAACAUCCGCACCGAUGACGGUACCUCCUUAGCAAGCACCGGCUAACUCUGUGCCAGCAGCCGCGGUAAGACAGAGGGUGCAAACGUUGUUCGGAAUUACUGGGCGUAAAGCGCGUGUAGGCGGCUACGCAAGUCGGAUGUGAAAGCCCUUGGCUCAACUGAGGAAGUGCAUUCGAAACUGCGUAGCUCGAGUCCCGGAGAGGAUGGUGGAAUUCUCGGUGUAGAGGUGAAAUUCGUAGAUAUCGAGAGGAACACCAGUGGCGAAGGCGGCCAUCUGGACGGUGACUGACGCUG